UGCCAGAAAAGUAAACCAGUACAAUAGAGUUCUUUUGUUUUUUAUGAACCAAAAGAUAGACUUGAUUUGAAUUGUCAGAUUGUUGUCAAAGGUUGAUAUGAACCGUAAAAAUUCUCGGUUUCUACUUCCUAAACUUCAAAUUUUACUGAUGGUACUUCUGCGACCGUUGAGGCCAACUCACAGGACGACUUAUCCCGUUUAAUUGUCUGAACAUAAUGUUCAGUUAGACGAUAAAUAUUAAGUUUGAAUUAUAUUUUAACAUUUAUAUGUACGAAUAAAUAUGGUUAACUGGUUA
Melitaea cinxia (Glanville fritillary) is the source of this 295-nucleotide long non-coding RNA. RefSeq lists it as uncharacterized. Lineage: Eukaryota; Metazoa; Arthropoda; Insecta; Lepidoptera; Nymphalidae. The record is from RefSeq and is a predicted model, not a curated record. The transcript is spliced from 2 exons.